UAACUCCUACUACUUCCUCUUCUUGAGU
This 28-nucleotide non-coding RNA is filed under the name Bombyx mori (domestic silkworm). Lineage: Eukaryota; Metazoa; Arthropoda; Insecta; Lepidoptera; Bombycidae. The record is from RNAcentral.